CGGCGUGCCUAAUACAUGCAAGUCGAACGCACUCUCGUUUAGAUUGAAGGAGCUUGCUCCUGAUUGAUAAACAUUUGAGUGAGUGGCGGACGGGUGAGUAACACGUGGGUAACCUGCCCUAAAGUGGGGGAUAACAUUUGGAAACAGAUGCUAAUACCGCAUAAAACCUAACACCGCAUGGUGUAGGGUUGAAAGAUGGUUUCGGCUAUCACUUUAGGAUGGACCCGCGGUGCAUUAGUUAGUUGGUGAGGUAAAGGCUCACCAAGACCGUGAUGCAUAGCCGACCUGAGAGGUAAUCGGCCACACUGGGACUGAGACACGGCCCAGACUCCUACGGGAGGCAGCAGUAGGGAAUCUUCCACAAUGGACGAAAGUCUGAUGGAGCAACGCCGCGUGAGUGAAGAAGGUUUCGGAUCGUAAACUCUGUUGUUGGAGAAGAAUGUAUCUGAUAGUAACUGAUCAGGUAGUGACGGUAUCCAACCAGAAAGCCACGGCUAACUACGUG
This 505-nucleotide ribosomal RNA is filed under the name uncultured bacterium. RNAcentral's name for it is "bacterial SSU rRNA". It matches the Rfam family "Bacterial small subunit ribosomal RNA", at positions 40 to 507 of the family's 1533-position model. The record is from RNAcentral.